UGGGGAAUAUUGCACAAUGGGGGAAACCCUGAUGCAGCGACGCCGCGUGAGCGAAGAAGGUUUUCGAAUCGUAAAGCUCUGUCCUAUGAGAAGAUAAUGACGGUAUCAUAAGAGGAAGCCCCGGCUAAAUACGUGCCAGCAGCCGCGGUAAUACGUAUGGGGCGAGCGUUGUCCGGAAUUAUUGGGCGUAAAGGGUACGUAGGCGGUUUUUUAAGUCAGGUGUCAAAGCGUGGAGCUUAACUCCAUUAAGCACUUGAAACUGAAAGAAUUGAGUGAAGGAGAGGAAAGUGGAAUUCCUAGUGUAGCGGUGAAAUGCGUAGAUAUUAGGAGGAAUACCGGUGGCGAAGGCGACUUUCUGGACUUUUACUGACGCUCAGGUACGAAAGCGUGGGGAGCAAACAGG
Molecule: ribosomal RNA, 403 nt
Filed under: Verrucomicrobiota bacterium
Lineage: Bacteria; Pseudomonadati; Verrucomicrobiota
Description: Verrucomicrobia bacterium partial 16S ribosomal RNA
Rfam family: Bacterial small subunit ribosomal RNA
Source: RNAcentral